This 492-nucleotide ribosomal RNA is filed under the name uncultured bacterium. RNAcentral describes it as "partial 16S ribosomal RNA". It matches the Rfam family "Bacterial small subunit ribosomal RNA", at positions 29 to 507 of the family's 1533-position model. The record is from RNAcentral.
AGUGAACGCUGGCGGUAGGCCUAACACAUGCAAGUCGAACGGCAGCACAGUAAGAGCUUGCUCUUACGGGUGGCGAGUGGCGGACGGGUGAGGAAUACAUCGGAAUCUACUUUUUCGUGGGGGAUAACGUAGGGAAACUUACGCUAAUACCGCAUACUACCUACGGGUGAAAGCAGGGGAUCUUCGGACCUUGUGCGAUUGUAUGAGCCGAUGUCGGAUUAGCUAGUUGGCGGGGUAAAGGCCCACCAAGGCGACGAUCCGUAGCUGGUCUGAGAGGAUGAUCGGCCACACUGGAACUGAGACACGGUCCAGACUCCUGCGGGAGGCAGCAGUGGGGAAUAUUGGACAAUGGGCGCAGGCCUGAUCCAGCCAUACCGCGUGGGUGAAGAAGGCCUUCGGGUUGUAAAGCCCUUUUGUUGGGAAAGAAAAGCAGCAGGUUAAUACCCCGCUGUUCUGACGGUACCCAAAGAAUAAGCACCGGCUAACUUCGUG